Molecule: long non-coding RNA, 1987 nt
Filed under: Cyanistes caeruleus (blue tit)
Lineage: Eukaryota; Metazoa; Chordata; Aves; Passeriformes; Paridae
Description: lncRNA (ENSCCEG00000019689.1)
Source: RNAcentral
CGCGGAAAAGGGCGCGGGGAGGUGCACGCGCUGCUGUGCUCUGAGGGGCCGGGGACCGCAGCGCUCCUCACGGGGCUCUGGGGCUGCCGGUGGCGGCGCGCUCGUCCUUCCUGGCCUCGGGAGAGAUCGCUUCCAGGAAUUGAGGGGCUGCGGAGGCAGGAAAUCCUGCGGGGCCCCGUGCAGGGAGCGGCCGCAACGGCAUCACCUCCGCGCGCGGGAGGGUGGGGUCCCAGCCGCCUCCUUCCCGCUCCGUGUGAGCAUCCGCACGAUGAAAUGUGGAACUUGACUGUGAGAUGAAGGGGUGUGUGUGUGCCUCCCUGAACUGUGAAUACUCCUGUUUAACAUUGCUGACGAAUCUGACGAGUAAAUCCCACCUCACUGCUCGCUUCAGUUUCCCCAAACAGAACUUUGAUCCUGAAUCGUAGCUAAAAAACAACGUUAAACCCGUUUUCUGCCCCGGGUGCUUCCCAUUUACGCUGUCCUCCGGGUGUCUGACCUCUCUAUCAACGAUACACUAACAGAAGUCUUUAGAGAGAACAAUAGCGGGAUGCCACUGAGUCCAACAUAAGGAAGCUUCUCAGCUGUAUCAGAAAGGAAACUUUGCUAGUCUGAGGACAGUCUUAUUUACUUACUUUUUCAUGCCAGUAAAGGUCAGCAGCAUGGAGACAUUAAUGAACAAAACAGAGUAAAUUAUGUCCCCCAGAAGCUGUGGGUCCUCUCCUCCAACCUGUCCACAAGAGUUCAGUAAUGUGAAUAGUUCUUAUGCAGCUGUAAUGUGAGAUGAUGCUUGUAUAUGGUGUUAAACCACAUCCAUAAAAUCUCCACUGAUAAUAGUCUUUCCAGAAGCAGCCUUCAGAGCAUUCAAUUGGUGAAGUCAUUAUGGUUUGGAACCGGGAAACUGAGGCAGCACUUUGCAGUCCUUUCAUAUAAAAUUGCAAGCAAAAUCACAGAGGCAUCAUUAAAAAUUACAAAACAUAAUUGCUGUUUAUUCUUUGUGUUGCCUGAGAGCUACAGUGACAAACAGAGCUCUGCUUGUGUCUGUGCAAACACUGUGUGAUCUUACAAACAUGUUUUGAAUGCAUUAUGUACAAUGAUUUGGUUCAAGGACAAUUUAAAACUUUCACCAGCUUCUUCAGCAGGCUUGACUAAAGGUUCCCUGACCUCCCUGGGAUAGCUAAGAUUGCAAAGAUGUUCAGAAAUUAUAUGUAAAAUGACAAAAACUGUCUCAUGUGCAGUUUCCAAAGGGUACUAUAUAAUGUCUCGCUUGGACAGAAUAGAGUGCCGCUGCUGGGCCUGUCUGACCCCCAGUUUCUGCUGGCAACAAGCCCAGAUAAACGUCCCGGGGGAGAGCCACCAUCCGGGGUUUCCAGGCAGUCUCCAGCCAGGGGUAACCCUUAGGAGCACAGGCAGAGGCCUUUGGUGACCAGCUCUUUUAGAAGGUGAUUUCUGCUCUGUGAUCAGCUCAGUUCAGCCCAGCCAGGUCCCUUCAGGAGUUACCCCAGGUGACGCUGACAAGAGAUAGGAAGACCAUGUGGCAUUCCACAGAAAGUCUUUAAUGCAGGCUUCAGCGAAGGGGGCCAGUGAUGAUCUAACCACUGAUCUGGGCAAAAGCUGGGUUUUUUAUGGGGAAGGGGAGAAUUGGGAAGGGGACCAAUGGUCUGAGAUGGGGAUAAGAUGACCAAUAGUUAACAGGGAGAUAACAUGUGUCCUGAGGCAGAAAGGGGUCCACAGCUCAGUCACCAUGACUAGGCAGUUUUAUCUUAUCUUAGGGGACAGAUCUCCAGGGAGGAUGCCUGUCAUACUGGGCUUCCUCCACAAUAGAGUUUGGAUUCAAUACACUGCCAGUCUUUGAGAGGGCUCAGAUUGAUGCCCAAAAUGUCUCUUCAUGCAGAGGGACCUUCUGUAAAUAGUAAAAAAUAUUUACCUCCUACAGCAAUUGGUGGACUUUCCUAAUAAAAGAAAGGAAGAGUUAAAAUAUUAAUAUUUA